ACGAUGUACACAUUUUUGAGUGCCU
RNAcentral lists this ribosomal RNA (25 nucleotides) under Orthopodomyia alba. RNAcentral describes it as "partial 5.8S ribosomal RNA". Lineage: Eukaryota; Metazoa; Arthropoda; Insecta; Diptera; Culicidae. The record is from RNAcentral. RNAcentral also lists the same sequence under 4 other names.